RNAcentral lists this ribosomal RNA (427 nucleotides) under uncultured bacterium. Its description in RNAcentral is "partial 16S ribosomal RNA". It matches the Rfam family "Bacterial small subunit ribosomal RNA", at positions 355 to 774 of the family's 1533-position model. The record is from RNAcentral.
UGGGGAAUAUUGGACAAUGGGCGAAAGCCUGAUCCAGCCAUGCCGCGUGUGUGAAGAAGGUCUUCGGAUUGUAAAGCACUUUAAGUUGGGAGGAAGGGCAUUAACCUAAUACGUUAGUGUUUUGACGUUACCGACAGAAUAAGCACCGGCUAACUCUGUGCCAGCAGCCGCGGUAAUACAGAGGGCGCAAGCGUUAAUCGGAAUUACUGGGCGUAAAGCGCGCGUAGGUUGUUUGUUAAGUUGGAUGUGAAAUCCCCGGGCUCAACCUGGGAACUGCAUUCAAAACUGACUGACUAGAGUAUGGUAGAGGGUGGUGGAAUUUCCUGUGUAGCGGUGAAAUGCGUAGAUAUAGGAAGGAACACCAGUGGCGAAGGCGACCACCUGGACUAAUACUGACACUGAGGUGCGAAAGCGUGGGGAGCAAACA